This 504-nucleotide ribosomal RNA is filed under the name uncultured bacterium. RNAcentral describes it as "partial 16S ribosomal RNA". It matches the Rfam family "Bacterial small subunit ribosomal RNA", at positions 30 to 523 of the family's 1533-position model. The record is from RNAcentral.
AUUGAACGCUGGCGGCAUGCCUUACACAUGCAAGUCGAACGGCAGCAUGGAGAGCUUGCUCUCUGAUGGCGAGUGGCGAACGGGUGAGUAAUGCAUCGGAACGUACCGUAUAAUGGGGGAUAACGUAGCGAAAGUUACGCUAAUACCGCAUACGACCGGAGGGUGAAAGCAGGGGAUCGCAAGACCUUGCGUUAUACGAGCGGCCGAUGUCAGAUUAGCUAGUUGGUGAGGUAAAGGCUCACCAAGGCGACGAUCUGUAGCGGGUCUGAGAGGAUGAUCCGCCACACUGGGACUGAGACACGGCCCAGACUCCUACGGGAGGCAGCAGUGGGGAAUUUUGGACAAUGGGGGCAACCCUGAUCCAGCCAUGCCGCGUGAGUGGAGAAGGCCUUCGGGUUGUAAAGCUCUUUCGGCCGGGAAGAAAUCGCACAGGCUAAUACUCUGUGUGGAUGACGGUACCGGCAUAAGAAGCACCGGCUAACUACGUGCCAGCCGCCGCGGUAA